GCGUCCUUAGUUCAGUUGGUAGAACGGCGGUCUCCAAAACCGCAUGUCGAGGGUUCGAGUCCUUCAGGACGCG
RNAcentral lists this transfer RNA (73 nucleotides) under bacterium (Candidatus Blackallbacteria) CG13_big_fil_rev_8_21_14_2_50_49_14. Its description in RNAcentral is "tRNA-Trp". It matches the Rfam family "tRNA". Rfam says of the family: Transfer RNA (tRNA) molecules are approximately 80 nucleotides in length. Their secondary structure includes four short double-helical elements and three loops (D, anti-codon, and T loops). Lineage: Bacteria; Candidatus Blackallbacteria. The record is from RNAcentral. RNAcentral also lists the same sequence under 2 other names.